Molecule: ribosomal RNA, 253 nt
Filed under: uncultured bacterium
Lineage: Bacteria
Description: partial 16S ribosomal RNA
Rfam family: Bacterial small subunit ribosomal RNA
Source: RNAcentral
UACGGGGGGAGCGAACGUUGUUCGGAAUCACUGGGCGUAAAGGGCGUGUAGGCGGCUGAAUAAGUGGGAUGUUAAAUCCCCCGGCUCAACCGGGGACCUGCAUCUCAUACUGUUCAGCUCGAGCACAUCAGAGGAGAAUGGAAUUCACGGUGUAGCAGUGAAAUGCGUAGAUAUCGUGAGGAAGACCAGUGGCGAAGGCGAUUCUCUGGGCAAUUCCUGACACUGAGGCACGAAGGCCAGGGGAGCAAACGGG